GGUGGCUCAAUGGUAGAGCGCUUGCCUUGUAUGCAUGAGGCCCUGAGUUCAAUUCCUCAGCACCA
RNAcentral lists this transfer RNA (65 nucleotides) under Dipodomys ordii (Ord's kangaroo rat). It matches the Rfam family "tRNA". Rfam says of the family: Transfer RNA (tRNA) molecules are approximately 80 nucleotides in length. Their secondary structure includes four short double-helical elements and three loops (D, anti-codon, and T loops). Lineage: Eukaryota; Metazoa; Chordata; Mammalia; Rodentia; Heteromyidae. The record is from Rfam by way of RNAcentral.